CUCCUACGGGAGGCAGCAGGAGCGAAAAUUGCCCAAUCCCGACACGGGAAGGCAGUGACGAGAAAUAACAACUCUUGGUUAUUCUAAGAAGUGUAAUGAGGAUAAUUUAAAACCCUUACCGAAAGCAAUUGGAGGGCAAGUCUGGUGCCAGCAGCCGCGGUAAUA
RNAcentral lists this ribosomal RNA (165 nucleotides) under uncultured bacterium. RNAcentral describes it as "partial 16S ribosomal RNA". It matches the Rfam family "Eukaryotic small subunit ribosomal RNA", at positions 413 to 584 of the family's 1831-position model. The record is from RNAcentral.